Molecule: long non-coding RNA, 294 nt
Filed under: Eucalyptus grandis
Lineage: Eukaryota; Viridiplantae; Streptophyta; Magnoliopsida; Myrtales; Myrtaceae
Description: long non-coding RNA (EGRA_LNC003885)
Source: RNAcentral
UCUGGAUUUGGUCAUCCACACUAACUCCUAAAAUCUUGCAAAUGUAAAUAGCGAUUGAUUGUAUUAUGUAAUCUCCCUCUCUCUCUGAGCUCAUAAUCUCUUGCGCGUGUGUGAAUAGGGGUGCAUGUCUGUGUGCUUGUAUGAAUAUGUUGGGGUGUGCAAUGAGGAAAGAUCAGCUGGCUUGUUUUGGGUUUCAUGCGCAACUUUGGUAGGAAAUAGCAGUGUUGUACAAAAAUCCUAGUUUUGCGAACUAGAAUGAUAGUUUGCUAGGUUAUGCUUGCCCAAGUUGAUUCA